CAAAGAUCAACUGUACCUAGAACAUAGAUACAGAGCCACUUGUCAUCAGGAAGCUGCUCUCUCAGCACAACGGAAAAUAUCUCAAUGACUUGACAUGUUCUGGUUGUGAAUUCAGGCUACAAGGGGUAAGUGCUCUUAAAUGAGUCUCUCUGGAGUGAGAAAGGAGAGGGUCCCUGCUUCUAAAAUGAGCCUCUCUGGGGAGAGAAAGGAGGGGGGCCCUACCUCUAAAAUGAGUCUCUCUGGAGCGAGAAAGGAGGGGGUCCCUCCCUAUAAAAUGAGUCUCUCUGGAGCGAGAAAGGAGGGGAGCCUUGCCUCUAAAACGAGUCUCUCUGGGGAGAGAGAGGAGGGGGUCCCUGCCUCUAAAAUGAGUCUCUCUGGAGCGAGAAAAGAGGGGGACCCUGCCUUUAAAAUGUGUCUCUCUGGAGCGAGAAACGAGGGGGGCCCUGCCUCUAAAAUGAGUCUCUCUGGAGCGAGAAGAGGGGGGGCUGCCUCUAAAAUUAGUCUCUCUGGAGCGAGAAAGGAGGGGAGCCUUGCCUCUAAAAUGAGCGUCUCUGGGGAGAGAAAGGAGGGGGGCCCUGCCUCUAAAAUGAGUCUCCCUGGAGCAAGAAAGGAGAGGGGCCCUGUCUCUAAAAUGAGUCUCUCUGGAGCGAGAAAGGAGGGGGGCCCUGCAUCUAAAAUGAGUCUCUCUGGAGCAAGAAAGGAGGGGGGCCCUGCCUCUAAAAUGAGUCUCUCUGGAGCGAGAAAGGAGGGCGUCCCUGCCUCUAAAAUGAGUCUCUCUGGGGAGAGAGAGGAGGUGGUCCCUGCCUCUAAAAUGAGUCUCUCUGGGGAACAUGACACCAAAUCUAAGAGCCCAAUGAAGCAGGAGAGACCAGCCUCCCCUGUACCCAGCUGUGUGUCCAUGAAGAGUGACCAGUCUAUGAAACGUCCUAUAAUGGUUGGAGAGGGAGACUUUUCUACUGAACAAAG
Molecule: non-coding RNA, 966 nt
Organism: Salmo salar (Atlantic salmon)
Lineage: Eukaryota; Metazoa; Chordata; Actinopteri; Salmoniformes; Salmonidae
Source: RefSeq, a predicted model, not a curated record